AACCCUCAAACUUAUGGAUAAGGAAAAUAAUGAUUGCGGCGGUGCCUGAAUCCUGCUGCUAAUAUGAGAUGAAUUUUUGAGUGGGUAAAGGAUGUCCCCAAAGCAACCCACCUACAAAUAUAUAAAUAUGAGAAGAGGGCUGGGGGCGUGGCUCAGUGGUAGAACUCCUGCCUA
RNAcentral lists this small nuclear RNA (174 nucleotides) under Mus caroli (Ryukyu mouse). RNAcentral describes it as "snRNA (MGP_CAROLIEiJ_G0035399.1)". Lineage: Eukaryota; Metazoa; Chordata; Mammalia; Rodentia; Muridae. The record is from RNAcentral.